Molecule: ribosomal RNA, 308 nt
Filed under: uncultured bacterium
Lineage: Bacteria
Description: bacterial SSU rRNA
Rfam family: Bacterial small subunit ribosomal RNA
Source: RNAcentral
AUUGAACGCUGGCGGCAUGCUUUACACAUGCAAGUCGAGCGGCAGCGCGGGGUUCAGGCAACUGAGCCCUGGCGGCGAGCGGCGAACGGGUGAGUAAUACAUCGGAACGUACCCAGGAGUGGGGGAUAGCCCGGCGAAAGCCGGAUUAAUACCGCAUACGAUCUGUGGAUGAAAGUGGGGACCUAAGGGCAACUGAGGGCCUCACGCUUUUGGAGCGGCCGAUGUCCGAUUAGCUAGUUGGUGGGGUAAAGGCCUACCAAGGCGACGAUCGGUAGCUGGUCUGAGAGGAUGAUCAGCCACACUGGGAC